RNAcentral lists this ribosomal RNA (303 nucleotides) under Triticum aestivum (bread wheat). Its description in RNAcentral is "partial small subunit ribosomal RNA". Lineage: Eukaryota; Viridiplantae; Streptophyta; Magnoliopsida; Poales; Poaceae. The record is from RNAcentral.
AUGGUGGCGGAGCAGGAACGGGCAGUGUACAGCGCCGAAGCUCAGAUCUUGGCGGCCAGGGUAGCGGCGGCCACGGACAGGAGAGACAGCUCACCCCCGACGUCGAAGUUGUCAACUGGGAAGAUGAAUCCCCGGGCACCUGAAUGGAAUAAGAGGCUGAAGAUAGUGCUGCUGCACCGAGCAGAACACCGUGCUCAAACCAUGGGCAAAGCCGCGUGCUGCAAAACAUAUGCAAAUGCGGUUACGGGCCUCAAAUAUCUUCUCAGCAAACUAAAACAUCUCAAGCUGGAUGUGCUCUGCUAG